Long non-coding RNA from Engraulis encrasicolus (European anchovy), 1158 nucleotides. RefSeq lists it as uncharacterized. NCBI's taxonomy places the organism in Eukaryota, Metazoa, Chordata, Actinopteri, Clupeiformes, Engraulidae. The transcript has 3 exons. The record is from RefSeq and is a predicted model, not a curated record.
UGAUCCACUCCUUCGCCUGUCUUCUUCGUUUUCCAAUACUACUGCUGCGUAGACCUCUACUUGAGGGUACUCUCGUGGUUUGAAACUCAACCUUGAACUCUCACACUUGCACUGACGCAAUCGAUGUCGGAACGUUGGAUGACGUAAACCGAGGAUGGAAAUAAAAUAUAAUUUAUGAUUUAAAAAAAAAAAAUAUUAAAAGUUUUUUUCACAACAACAUAUUGAUCAUAUUCAAAUAAAUUAAGUGAAACGAAACUGAAUAUGUUUCUUUUUAAAAUAAUAAAUACAAAUGACUAUCCACCCCAGUGAUCCACCCCAUGCACGUCAUCAGCCAGCUUCAGUGCAGUCAUCAAUAUUGAUGAAUGAAUGAAAUGCGAGCGAAAGUUGACUGGCAUCAUGGCGGCUUGGAGGUGUUGGAUUUGUUUUGUCUUUGUUGCGCUUAGUCUUAAAGUUUUAUUAAGCCAUAUCAAUGCAAGUCAUAGUCGCAGCCCGGAUUUUUGGGUUUACUGUGGUAUCGAUGGAUGUGAAAAGGACUUUAGAGUUUUCAACUCUUUUUUUCGCCACAUUAAACGGACACACCUCGAGUAUUACAGGACUGGACGUCCACCACGUUGGAGUACAACUGAUUCUUCUCACUCUUCGGAGCAGGAAACAUUUGGUGUGUCAGUUUUUGCCAAUUGUACCACUCUUGCAGCAGCGGGCACCGGCACAAAUGUUCCCAAUCCCGUCCCACCUGUUGCCGUCCCACCUGUUGCUCUUGAACCUGACGUUGUCGGUCCUUCUGAGGAUGCUGUUGCGGAGACAUCCAGAGCCGGACCUGAUAUGGCAAGAUCUGCGGCUGCAUUUGCCAUCAGCAUCCGAGAACAGGGCCAUUUGUCACAGAGAACUGUCAGGAGUGUCAUCUCAGGGGUGCAACAGUACCAAGCUGCUCUCCUUCUCACACUAAGGGACAGAGUCCAAAGGGUGUUUGAAGACCACCCAGAGACAACUGCUCAGCUCCAGAAUGAGGCAUUGGCUACAUUUGAUGCAUUCAUGGAUCCUUUCUCAACCACCGCAUAUGGACAGAAUAAAACCAUCCGGGAACUAUUCAAUCCAGUCAACCCAGAGGAAGUUGUAGUAUCCCAGAAGAUUUGCUGGGUAAAGCGUGGUCAUUCAAGG